RNAcentral lists this unclassified non-coding RNA (709 nucleotides) under Hevea brasiliensis (rubber tree). The record is from RNAcentral. Lineage: Eukaryota; Viridiplantae; Streptophyta; Magnoliopsida; Malpighiales; Euphorbiaceae.
CCUGAGAACCACCAUCCCUUUGGCUUGAGAAUCUGUCCCCACUGUGGUUCUUUUCACUUCCCCAUGACCCCACAUUCCCUGGAGAUGCUACCCAACUGGGAUUUGCAUUUCCAGGAGGUUGCCCUUGGCCAAGGGGUACCCAAGCUAAAUUGGCAUUUAUAGGUGUUUGCCCUUGGCCAGGUGGCACCCAACCUGGAAAUGCAUUUCCUGGUGCUUGACCCUGAACUGCAGCAGCCAAACCCAGAUUUGCAUUUCCAGGUGCUUGUGCUUGCCCAUGUGCAACCCAACCUGCGUUUGUGUUUGCAGGUGCUGGCAUCUGACCAGAUACAACCCACCCCUGAUUUGAAUUUGCAGAUACGGGUCCUCCCCAGCCCAUGUUCAGAUUUCCUGGAACCGACCCCCAACCAAUAUUUUGAUUUUCUAGCCCUUGUCUAGACGUAACACUUUGGUUAUCAGUAAUACUCACACCCCAUGGCACAUUAGAUGGAGCAGCAGAAGGUUGAAUGUUUGGUUGCCCAGGCAUAGGACCUCCCCACCGGUCAGAUGGUGCCAAACCUGAAGCUCCUGGGGCGGUAGAAAUACCGCUCAGGUUGCCUGCAAUAAAGGAUGAAGCAGAAUUAUGGGCAGCAGCAGUUGAUGCAUCACCCCAGUUACCAUAAGCACUAGGUUGAGUAGACAUUGAAAUUGAAUUGUUCUGCUCUGGCUUCUG